GACGAACGCUGGCGACGUGCUUAACACAUGCAAGUCGAGCGGUAAGGCUCCUUCGGGAGUACACGAGCGGCGAACGGGUGAGUAACACGUGGGUGACCUGCCCUCAGCUCUGGGAUAAGCCUGGGAAACUGGGUCUAAUACUGGAUAUGACUCCACGGUGCAUGUCGUGGGGUGGAAAGCCUUGUGCGGCUGAGGAUGGGCCCGCGGCCUAUCAGCUUGUUGGUGGGGGAUGGCCUACCAAGGCGACGACGGGUAGCCGGCCUGAGAGGGCGACCGGGCCACACUGGGACUGAGACACGGCCCAGACUCCUACGGGAGGCAGCAGUGGGGAAUCUUGCGCAAUGGGCGAAAGCCUGACGCAGCGACGCCGCGUGAGGGAUGACGGCCUGG
RNAcentral lists this ribosomal RNA (390 nucleotides) under uncultured bacterium. RNAcentral's name for it is "bacterial SSU rRNA". It matches the Rfam family "Bacterial small subunit ribosomal RNA", at positions 28 to 419 of the family's 1533-position model. The record is from RNAcentral.